This 634-nucleotide ribosomal RNA is filed under the name bacterium T54. RNAcentral's name for it is "bacterial SSU rRNA". It matches the Rfam family "Bacterial small subunit ribosomal RNA", at positions 777 to 1411 of the family's 1533-position model. The record is from RNAcentral.
AUUAGAUACCCUGGUAGUCCACGCCGUAAACGAUGUCGACUUGGAGGUUGUUCCCUUGAGGAGUGGCUUCCGGAGCUAACGCGUUAAGUCGACCGCCUGGGGAGUACGGCCGCAAGGUUAAAACUCAAAUGAAUUGACGGGGGCCCGCACAAGCGGUGGAGCAUGUGGUUUAAUUCGAUGCAACGCGAAGAACCUUACCUACUCUUGACAUCCACGGAAUUCGGCAGAGAUGCCUUAGUGCCUUCGGGAACCGUGAGACAGGUGCUGCAUGGCUGUCGUCAGCUCGUGUUGUGAAAUGUUGGGUUAAGUCCCGCAACGAGCGCAACCCUUAUCCUUUGUUGCCAGCGAUUCGGUCGGGAACUCAAAGGAGACUGCCGGUGAUAAACCGGAGGAAGGUGGGGAUGACGUCAAGUCAUCAUGGCCCUUACGAGUAGGGCUACACACGUGCUACAAUGGCGCAUACAAAGAGAAGCGACCUCGCGAGAGCAAGCGGACCUCAUAAAGUGCGUCGUAGUCCGGAUCGGAGUCUGCAACUCGACUCCGUGAAGUCGGAAUCGCUAGUAAUCGUGGAUCAGAAUGCCACGGUGAAUACGUUCCCGGGCCUUGUACACACCGCCCGUCACACCAUGGGAGU